RNAcentral lists this long non-coding RNA (1462 nucleotides) under Mus musculus (house mouse). RNAcentral describes it as "t-complex-associated testis expressed 2". Lineage: Eukaryota; Metazoa; Chordata; Mammalia; Rodentia; Muridae. The record is from RNAcentral.
GGUUCGAAGACGCCAUCAAAGAAACCGGCGGCGAGGAGCGCAUCCCGCAGGGGAAGGCCCGCGGCCUGCGUGGGCCGCGACGGGGACCGGUGCGCUGGCAGGCACUUCAUGCCGGGACAGCUAAAGCCAAGUUUACAGCAGAGCCUGGCACAGUACCCGAACCACAAGGAGAUAGCAGCUACUGUGAUUGGACACGUUCAAGGUAGAAAAAGCUGGCUCAUGGAAACCCUUCAUCCUCUGCCUCCCGAGGGCUGGAGUUAAAAGUGAUACCAUGCUCCAGGGAAGGCUUCGACGUGACUCAUCACAGCACUUGGCACGGAGUAACUCAACUAACAUCUGUUGGAGGGAUGAAUAAUUUAGGGGAUCCCGAGAAGGCCACUCGGAGGCUUGGCAGCCAGGUUAGCGACUGAGAUUGUCUAGGAGAAAAACUGGUGUGCUCACGACCCAUGGGUAUAGAUACCAUCUCUACAGUGACUAUAAAAAUGGCACGCUCACUCAGGCGUUCUCCAUUGUGACAUCUGUCCUGUGUUGAUCCCAGCAACCCAGGUGUCCCGACAUCAGGCCACCGAUCUCCUGCAUUGUGUCCUCCCACCUUGUCCAUAGAAGGCCGUGUAGAUGGAGGUAAUAAUUUUGGAGCUUUAAUUGAUGCCUCUUUAGUCUCAGUCUCAGAGAUACUCGAUGAAAUGGCCACGUGGAUGACAUGACGGUGUGAGCGGAGCUGAGACACAGGUCAGCAUUCUUACCCCAGGCAGGUGAGGCUUUGUGGAUGAGCACCAAAAUGCUAUGCGGUUACCUCGGGCUGCUGGUGCUAAGAUUUAUGAUCUUCAGUGAUGUCACACAGCAUUCUAACAGCACUGCUCUGCUCAUCUUGAGACCUCGAAGCAGGAAGCAGACAGCUGGCGGGCAUCAGAUCCUAUUUCAGCUUCCAUCCACUCAAAGCCUUUAGGAAUUGGGUUCACAGCCCGUAAAACCAAGAUCUCUUCUAUGUAAAGCUGAAGGAAGCAUGGAAGUAGACUCUUUACUCUCAGUGACUCAUGGGACACUGGCCAUUUGAGAUCCAGAGGGCUCUAAGGUGACAUCAGGGACCUUUCACACUGGUGCCAGUCUUUAAAUUUACCACCGUUAUCAAGAUAUUAUCUAGUUAGUUCCUGCUCACACAAGCCUCUGACUGACCCAUGCUGAUGACACCUGUUGGUAUCAGGGUAUCAGCACUGCAGAUCAGCUCUGGACCUAGUGACAUCACAUAUCGCUGACAGGAACCCGCACAUCUAUUGCCAAGGCAACCGCCACACAUUCCCAGAAUCCACUUGGCUCACCUCCCACAUUUACCUGCAGGCGGCUAAUGUCACUAUACAAAUAAACAGGCAGAUCCCUCUGACCCCUCUCUCUACCCCCGCACCCUGCUCCUCCUUCUCCACCACCUUUGCCCUUUUCUCCUAUAAUAAACCUCUGACACAUGGAA